Molecule: ribosomal RNA, 363 nt
Filed under: Triticum aestivum (bread wheat)
Lineage: Eukaryota; Viridiplantae; Streptophyta; Magnoliopsida; Poales; Poaceae
Description: partial small subunit ribosomal RNA
Source: RNAcentral
UGGUAUGCUGAUUAUGCUAAUUACAUUGUUGCUAAAUUUAUACCACCUAGUUUCACGUACCAACAAAAGAAAAAGUUUUUCUAUGAUUUAAGACAUUACUUCUGGGAUGACCCACACCUUUAUAAAGAAGGAGUAGACGGUGUCAUUAGACGUUGUGUACCUGAGCAUGAACAGGAACAGAUCCUACGCAAGUGUCACUCCGAGGCUUAUGGAGGACACCAUGCUGGAGAUAGAACUGCACAUAAGGUAUUGCAAUCCGGUUUUUAUUGGCCUACUCUCUUCAAGAUGCCCGUAAGUUUGUCUUGUCUUGUGAUGAAUGUCAAAGAAUUGGUAAUAUUAGCAGACAUCAAGAAAUGCCUAUGA